This 434-nucleotide ribosomal RNA is filed under the name uncultured Lachnospiraceae bacterium. RNAcentral's name for it is "partial 16S ribosomal RNA". It matches the Rfam family "Bacterial small subunit ribosomal RNA", at positions 341 to 792 of the family's 1533-position model. The record is from RNAcentral. Lineage: Bacteria; Bacillati; Bacillota; Clostridia; Lachnospirales; Lachnospiraceae.
ACGGAAGGUAGCAGUGGGGAAUAUUGGACAAUGGGGGAAACCCUGAUCCAGCGACGCCGCGUGAGUGAAGAAGUAUUUCGGUAUGUAAAGCUCUAUCAGCAAGGAAGAAAAUGACGGUACUUGACUAAGAAGCUCCGGCUAAAUACGUGCCAGCAGCCGCGGUAAUACGUAUGGAGCAAGCGUUAUCCGGAUUUACUGGGUGUAAAGGGAGCGUAGACGGCAAAGCAAGUCUGAAGUGAAAUCCCGGGGCUCAACCCCGGAACUGCUUUGGAAACUGUUUAGCUAGAGUGCAGGAGAGGUAAGCGGAAUUCCUAGUGUAGCGGUGAAAUGCGUUGAUAUUAGGAGGAACACCAGUGGCGAAGGCGGCUUACUGGACUGUAACUGACGUUGAGGCUCGAAAGCGUGGGGAGCAAACAGGAUUAGAUACCCUGGUA